RNAcentral lists this ribosomal RNA (253 nucleotides) under uncultured bacterium. RNAcentral's name for it is "partial 16S ribosomal RNA". It matches the Rfam family "Bacterial small subunit ribosomal RNA", at positions 524 to 776 of the family's 1533-position model. The record is from RNAcentral.
UACGUAGGGGGCGAGCGUUGUCCGGAAUUACUGGGCGUAAAGCGCACGUAGGCGGAUUUGUAAGUCAGGGGUGAAAUCCCGAGGCUCAACCUCGGAACUGCCUUUGAUACUGCAAAUCUCGAGUCCGGAAGAGGUGAGUGGAAUUCCUAGUGUAGAGGUGAAAUUCGUAGAUAUUAGGAAGAACACCAGUGGCGAAGGCGGCUCACUGGUCCGGUACUGACGCUGAGGUGCGAAAGCGUGGGGAGCAAACAGG